Molecule: long non-coding RNA, 1833 nt
Organism: Acanthochromis polyacanthus (spiny chromis)
Lineage: Eukaryota; Metazoa; Chordata; Actinopteri; Pomacentridae
Exons: 5
Source: RefSeq, a predicted model, not a curated record
AGCCAGCUUCCUGUGGAGGAGCUCCUUCGGCGCUCCGAGCUUCAGGCUGAGCUCCUCCAGAGUCCAGCAGCCUGGAGAACCACCGAGGACACCGAUCAAUAACACCGAUCAAUACUUCUGAUCAGCCUUCACAUUCAUAUGGGGUCGUACUUUUGUCCUGGAAGUGCAGGAUGAUGGCAGCCUGGAUGGGCGACACGGUGAGGUGGGUCAACGUUCGGUCCUCCAGCUCCACGUCCAGAGUGACGGAGCCCAGAUGAGGCUUCCAGCUCAGAGUCCUCAUGGCCUGAAACAAACACAGAAACAUCCAGAAAAACUGGAAAACUGCAAACCAGAGGAACUACGGCAGGAUUCUGGUGUUGGAAUAUCUAGAGAUUUUUGGACUCUGAAUAGACUGAUAAAUAACAGUUAAUUGAUAAUUAGCUGUUAACUGACUGAUAAUUGACUAUGAAUUGAUUGUUAAUUGGCUUAACACAUUGAUAAUUGAUUGUAAAUUGACAAUUGAUGGCUAAUUGAUUGCUAAUAGACUGAUAAUGGAUUGUUAGUUGACUGAUAAUUGCAUGAUAAUUAAUUAGUCAUUUAUUGUCAUGUUGUCAUUUUGUCUAAGCAAAAUGUGGAACAAGAAUCUCAUUAUUCUAUUUAAAGUCUUCAACAUCACACAGCGUCCUUGAACGCAUCGUCACUAAAACUGAGCUUCUGCUGCCAGUUUUACACAGAUUUUCAGGUUGCAGUGAAGUUAAAUUUAGGAAAUUGACUAAAAGAAAUGUAAAAUAGGCUUUGAGAAAUGACCCUAAACAGCUGAACCAUGUAAGAGCACCGCUGGUCUCAUCUCUAACAGAGUGGUUUCUCCACCUUGAGCUUCUCGUAGCGGUGGGUGUAGGCCUCCAUGGCCUGGCAGACCACCGGCGGCAGCUCCAGUUUCUCCUCCUUCAGCGGCGGCCAGAACUCCGAGGACAGGAUGAUGGAGGACAGCGACAGCGGCGGCUGAUCCUCCUCGCUCAGCCUCGACUCCUCCUCACGGAUGUUGCUGUUGAUCCUGCGAGAGUCGGCCAUGUCCUGAAGAAAUACGAGCUGCAGGACUUUUUGUUGUCAUGGUAAAUGAGCUACAGUCCUACCUGGCCGUGUUGUAGUUGACUUGGUGCAGCAGCCGGUCGGCCAGCACGGCUCGGUACUCGUCUAUGAAGAUGUCCUUGCUGCCAUAGAUGCUGACCAGCAGGCUGAUGAUGUCCGACGAGCGACGCUUCGAGCCCAUUUUAUCUGCAAACAUCCAGAGGAAACGCAUGAGUAGAGCCCAGCAGCAGUGUACGGACAACGGUGGUGCGUUCACUGACCGGGUACGGCGUCCGUCGGAUCUGGAGUCCAGUCCUCGGGGUCGUUGCCUUCCUCAUCGCUGUCCUGCAUCUCCAGAGUCACCGGGUCUCCUCUGGACAGUUCUGAUGCCAGAUCAGUGCAGCCUUCAGCGUCUCCAGUCAGACCGGCAAUGAUCUGCCUCACCGUGUCCUCACGAGUCCUGAACACACCACAGAGGCUUUUUAAACCUUAUGUGUGGUUCAUAAAGAGCUCAUGAAACAGAAACGGACCCGGAUGCAACAGUCGGCUUUCAAAAGCAGACUUGAGUGAAGUGAGGAGCUGCUGCCUCUGGUUGGUUCUCUCCAGACAGAACUUCAGAUCCUCAAUCGCAGCUUUGGAUUCUGGGAAAUCUGACAGAGACGGAAGAAAAUAUCCUGCAGAAAAACUGAUGCAUGUGACACCUCCACUGCUUCAAGACCGAGCUGGCAGCCGGGCCGGGCUGGACACCGGGACCACCGGGACCAGCUGGACCACCAGGACCAGCUG